CAGUCCAUGGGGCAGGAAGACCCCUUGGAGGAGGGCAUGGCAACCCACUCCAGGAUUUUUGCCUGGAGAAUCCCAGGGACAGAGGAGCCUGGUGGGCUACAGUGCAUAGGGCUGUACGGAGUGGAACACCACUGAAGCGCCUUAGC
Long non-coding RNA from Cervus elaphus (red deer), 146 nucleotides. RefSeq lists it as uncharacterized. The record is from RefSeq and is a predicted model, not a curated record. The transcript is spliced from 3 exons. NCBI's taxonomy places the organism in Eukaryota, Metazoa, Chordata, Mammalia, Artiodactyla, Cervidae.